UGAGUAAUGUCUGGGAAACUGCCUGAUGGAGGGGGGAUAACUACUGGAAACGGUAGCUAAUACCGCAUAAUGUCGCAAGACCAAAGAGGGGGACCUUCGGGCCUCUUGCCAUCGGAUGUGCCCAGAUGGGAUUAGCUAGUAGGUGGGGUAACGGCUCACCUAGGCGACGAUCCCUAGCUGGUCUGAGAGGAUGACCAGCCACACUGGAACUGAGACACGGUCCAGACUCCUACGGGAGGCAGCAUG
This 246-nucleotide ribosomal RNA is filed under the name uncultured bacterium. RNAcentral's name for it is "partial 16S ribosomal RNA". It matches the Rfam family "Bacterial small subunit ribosomal RNA", at positions 107 to 353 of the family's 1533-position model. The record is from RNAcentral.